CUGGUGGUGCCCUUCCGUC
RNAcentral lists this non-coding RNA (19 nucleotides) under Arabidopsis thaliana (thale cress). Lineage: Eukaryota; Viridiplantae; Streptophyta; Magnoliopsida; Brassicales; Brassicaceae. The record is from RNAcentral.